RNAcentral lists this long non-coding RNA (2807 nucleotides) under Pan troglodytes (chimpanzee). RNAcentral's name for it is "long non-coding RNA NONPTRT006435". Lineage: Eukaryota; Metazoa; Chordata; Mammalia; Primates; Hominidae. The record is from RNAcentral.
UUAAAAACGUUGGUGUGUGGAGUAACUUGGGCAGCUUGCUCAUGAGUGCCGUGUGCCUGUGGGCUCUUUGAUGACGUCUUCCCUGAAAACCCGGUGUUCUCUCUACGCCCCCUGCACGGGCCUCCCCCUCGGCUGAGUGUGUUUCUCUCUCAUUCCUUCCUCCUUGCGCAUCAGAAGAGCCCCUGCCAGGGGCGCCUGGCAAGUGCUGUGCCCACGUCUGCCCAGGACCCAGCCGUGUUGAGUGAAGCUCUUGGGGCCAGCGUGCGCCCUGACGCACAGGAGAGAGCUGAAGGCUGUGACAAACCCUGUGCCCACGCUGCCUCCACUGCCGGGAGACUCAGGGCUGGGGGAGACAUGCCCUGGUCACCACUGCGGAGACUCAGGGCUGGGGGAGACAUGCCCUGGCCACCAGUGGUGAGCCAGCGAGACAGGACCCCGUGCGCGCUGACCCGGGGACGCCACGGAACUUGCUCGCAAUUCCUGCUCACAGCACGUUUCCUGUUCGGAAACCAGGAGAGCCUCCACGUGCCAACUAGCUCUGUCCACACAUCCAUUGCGCAGCUCUGCAGCGGAAGGACCUUCAGUAAAGACGCUGGUUUGUAAUGAGAGAAGCGUUCCAAAGUGUCACACGACAUUGUUUAUUACUAAAAGGAGCAGAAUUUCUUUUUAAUCUUGACAGUGUUGUUUUUGUAACAGUAUGAUUUAAACUGUUUCAUUUAGGAAAACUUUUUUUCAUUUCAUAAGUAAUCAAGCUAUCUUUCCAGCUUAAAAGCAAAGAAAAAAGGCUCAGGGUAACUUUUUAAACCACUUCAUCAAUAAGAAAAGUUCUCUCUGUCAUUGCACGGCAUGAUUGUACACAGUAUUAGCAAGCAGUUCACAUGGGCCAGGGCCGACUUGGAAGGAAACACAGGUUAACACUGUUUUCUUUCCGAGUUCACAGAGAUGUUUGCAGCAGGCUCAGUUGCUUUGGCAGCUGGAGCGAGGGUGCCUCUUCCGCGUGGCUCCCCUGAGCAGAGAGGCCCCUGUGGUUUUUUUCUCCGCCGGGCUCUGGGGACAGGGUUUCUGUGGAAAUGGCAAAUGGUGCAGAUGAGCAGAGUCCUGCUAGAGAGGUCAGCUCAGCGUCCAGGAGGGGGUGCCUGCCCCCGAGGAGGCCACGGACGUGCCUGGGAAGUUGCUGCUGGAGAAGUGUGCUCUGAUGUGGCCACACUUGGGGACGCGGGCUCCCCAGAGGCCCAAGCGAGAAAGCCGGGGGUUCCCAGGCUGGGGGUGCAGGACGGGUCAGGCACUGCCCUGCAGGGCCCGCCCCCCUGCCCCUGCACCCUCACACCCAUCUUCCUCUCUCAGCCUGACCCCAGGGCCUGGGAGCCCCCGGCAGACCGGCCCUCCUUUCCAAACAGUGGCUGCCCUUUAUGGACUCGGCGCCUGGCAGAGCCACUGUGGAGGAGGAGUUGGCUGUCAUGGUCAGGGGAGGCAGCCCUUGGGUUGUCAAGGUUGGUGGUCAACGUUGAAGCCAUAUCUGCUGGAAUCUCCCGGUCUGUUCCACACACGAUCAUGCGGGAAGCUCUGGGACCCGAAGGCUGUUUUGAUCUUGGGGGUCACAAGUUCUCACAGCAGCCUGGGGUCACCAGGGAGCAGACCCGGCAUUAGCCUCUGUAAGGAGCUGCCUGGCUGCUGGGCUGAGCUUUGUUGCAGGCCCAGGAAGAUGACCAAGAAGGACAGAGCAGAGCCCCAUCCACCACUGCUGGGAGGGCCCGAGGGAGCACGUGCACAGCAGAGCCCCAUCCUCCACUCCCUGGGCUGGAAGAGGCUUCCUCGGUGUGGAUGGCAGCUGUUAACGAGCAGUGGUGGUGCAGCUGGAGGCCUCUGUCCCAUGGGGCACAGACAGGGGGGAAGGAUGGCGGACGGGUGUACAUGCUUGGGAGGACGGGCGGGCGGCAUAGGCCUGAGCAGGUGGCGUGGGCGCACGAGAAGGGUGUGUCUGACACAGGAUGUUUAUCCCAAAUGCCAGGAGUGGACGAGGCGGACGAGUGGCAGUGAGGUAGGCAUGUGAGGUUGUUGCCUGGCCCACUCUGCCGACCCCAGAAACCCAGCGGCCUGGGCCCAGCACCCGGAUACACAUGGGGUGAGCUCACGCCCACACUGUGGCCUGUGCCCGUCACGGGGCUGCUUGCUUCUCCUAGGCUUGGGAACAAGCUGGCAUGAACGCUGUGGCCGCAUUCACAGCUCAGGCACUUCCACUUUGGGUUUCAUGAAGAAACAGACUUAAAGAGCAUUUGUUCCUAAUGGGUGGGCUGAAGCUUGGGAGGAGCAUUCAGCUUCUCUCCACAGUAUGGCUUCACCUGUUCCUGAGCGCCCUACUACCCUCUUGCUAACCUGGGUGGCUGAGGUCCUCUGCUUUGGUGGCGUUGACUGCCUGUCUGCAGCCAGCGCCAGGUGCCAGCCCCUGUCUCUGCUCAUCAGGAAGCGCUGGCCUGCAGGUGCUUUGUGGUUGCCACGGACCCUUGUUCUGUCCCUUUCCAGCACCCACCCCCCACCCGCUGUGCGUUCCGUAGUUCAUUUUCAAGGCAGGGGGCACAUGGUGAAAAUACAGCCUGGCUUUUUUUCAACAAAUGCAGCUGCACUUUUCCUUGCUUGUUUUGAAGGCUGAGCCGGCAAUCUCCUUGGCACCUGGGGACAGUCGCUUCCUCAGUUUCUGCGUACCGACUGCCUCACCUGACACGCGGCCUGGGCGCGAGAGAAGCCAACCAGGUGCCUGAGUUGACUGACUGUUUACGCCCUCCAACCUCCUCCCUCCGCCCUCCAACCUC